CCUCUAUACUUUGCUAACCUUACCCAGAAAGCAGACAGUAAAGUAGCAGUGAUAGGAAAGGAAAGGAGAUAAAAGGAGUAAACUAGAAACUUGUUCUCUGUGUUAUAAUAAAGAAUCAGAAUUAUAUAGUUCUCCCCAUUACAACUACCUAUCUCUAGUGCAUGGGAGGAUUAGGAAGCCUUCUUACACUGAGUCAGAUCAUCUAGCCCAAUAUUGUACACUCUGACUGGCAGCAGCUUUCUGGGAUGCCAAGCAGGGCCUAGCCCUACCCGGAUCUGCCUGAGACUGAACCUGAGAAACAUUCUCUAAAAGAAAGCUAUAGCCAUUUUCCAGUAUUGGUGCAGAGAUAAAUUAUCCAAUAGGAAGUCAAGUUAUUUGUAAUGGAGCAGGUCACUAUAUUGCAAGUCUUGAACAUAUGAAAUAUACUCAUGUAUGUGAGGUGAUCCAGCACAAAUUAAUCACUGAUCAUAUAGAACUGCUGCUGUUACAUGGAAGAGGACAUUUCAGUAAGCAACAUGUGGCAGCCAUACCAUGAGAAGUAACCCUAACUGCCGAAGCCUUUGCAUGUUUACUUAGAAGCAGGUACACCAUGCAGUUCCUUGCUUCAUAUCAAAGAAAGUGCUGUGGUAUGUAGCUGACAUCUUGUUCCUUCUGCUGUGGGCUAUGGUUCUGUUGUGUUCUCCAGGGUUCCCCCCAAUCACAGUUCCCCCAUGAGCCUUCCCUUCAUGCUCUCUUCUUUAUACUGAACACUGUCUUCUUACCUAUUAGGGACAUGCAGUAGCACCAACAUUUGGAU
This 796-nucleotide long non-coding RNA is filed under the name Pogona vitticeps (central bearded dragon). Its description in RNAcentral is "lncRNA (ENSPVIG00000004557.1)". The record is from RNAcentral. Lineage: Eukaryota; Metazoa; Chordata; Lepidosauria; Squamata; Agamidae.